GUAGCAGGGUGGGAGGGAGCUACGGCUGGUGGCUGAUUCUCUGGGGUGACUGGGCAUGGGUUAUGGGAAUGGAGGAUGAUGUCCCUCAUCGGUUCCCAGAGAGUUGCCUCACUAGCACCCUGGAGCCUGUGAAUAGUGUUUAAAUCAAUGGUCAAAGUGAAGAGGGCAGCUUAGUCCUCAUUACUCCCCAGGACUAAUUGACCUCUUCUGAAAAGGUACAUUCUUGAUUUGGUGAGACUCUUCCUCAUCCGGAAAGAACAGAGGAGAACAAAGGCAUCACCAUCCUGAGAGUGUUUGUGAAGGACUCAUACAGACCGAACACUGCGCAGAGCCUGAUGACCUUUUCCUGCCCUGGAGAUUCUCAGUUUUGUCAUUUUGAUGAAUCUCUAAGUUGUGUUCACUAAAAAGCUGGCAAUGAGAAUAGAAGAAUUGCAAACAAUGUAGCAGGCCCUUGCCAAGAUUUAAAUACAGAAGAAACAUUCAAAAGGACGGUAUCAAAUUAUCUGCAAAGAUGAAGAAAGUAAUGACUUACGUUCUCCAUCCUCUGGCUGGGUGACUCACCAAAGUGGAAAAUGAAGCACUUGGAGAUUAAAGGUACCCCCAGAAAGAGGGGGAAAGGGAUGGGCUCUGGAGAAGCCAAUCCAGUUACAAGUUAACAUGCCACAGGAACAUCUGUGAUGGAAGGUGGCAGCUAAAUGCUUCGUGUCUCUUUGUGUUCUCCAG
RNAcentral lists this long non-coding RNA (723 nucleotides) under Homo sapiens (human). Its description in RNAcentral is "HSALNT0079585". Lineage: Eukaryota; Metazoa; Chordata; Mammalia; Primates; Hominidae. The record is from RNAcentral.